CAAAAUCGAUCAAAAUCAUACGAAGACUUAGAUUUAUAAGUGUUUAUAUACAGUCUAAGUCCAAAUCUUGCUUCGGAAUAUUUUUCCCACCUGGACUGAAACUUGACAGAGGACCCAUAGAGUAACCUGGAGAUGCAUUAAAAACAGCGCAGGCCAAGGAGGAUCAUUAUGAUUCACUUAUCCAGUCGUAAAUGAGGCGUCAUGGACUUCUGCUCCUUUGGGAAUCUCCAGCCCUUUGAAAAGAAAAUAGAGGUUAAAAAUCCGCUAAAUGAGUUAGCAGCAACCUGGAUCCUUCUCUUCCACAGAACAAUUCUAUCAGCCAGGUGACUGUGAGGAGGCAGGAUGACCUGAUGUCACUCACAUUGUUGCCUCUGCCUUUGAAGGGCCCAGCUCUCCUCUCAGCCCUGGAAUGGGAUGGCUAAAUAGAUUCUCUGUGUUUACCACUGGCCUCCCUCCCAGUGCACACUUCAAUUUGUCUUAAUAAUAAAAGGUGGACAGAAGAGUUGGAGUUUCCCAAACAAUGGAUGAAUUUUUUAUCAAAUGGUUGAAUUGAGUUGCAAGUGGAACAAUAUUUAUUCAUAGGUGUUUAUUCAGAGAUAUCCCAUUGAAAAGUGAAUGAUACAACAAGUGUAGAGGUUUCUGUGAGCUGGAUUUUCCUGUGCUAGCUAAGGAUAAACAGGAUUAAUGAAUUAUUAUUUUCCCACCUGAUUUUCACUGUUUGCACAAUAUAUACUUAGUGUGGCUCUCAAUAAAAGAUAGAAGCACUAGAUU
Molecule: long non-coding RNA, 771 nt
Organism: Lates calcarifer (barramundi perch)
Lineage: Eukaryota; Metazoa; Chordata; Actinopteri; Centropomidae
Exons: 3
Source: RefSeq, a predicted model, not a curated record